RNAcentral lists this ribosomal RNA (759 nucleotides) under uncultured bacterium. Its description in RNAcentral is "bacterial SSU rRNA". It matches the Rfam family "Bacterial small subunit ribosomal RNA", at positions 199 to 958 of the family's 1533-position model. The record is from RNAcentral.
GUGGAAAGCUCUGGCGGAGAGGGAUGAGCUCGCGGCCUAUCAGCUUGUUGGUGAGGUAAUGGCUCACCAAGGCAUUGACGGGUAGCCGGCCUGAGAGGGUGACCGGCCACACUGGGACUGAGACACGGCCCAGACUCCUACGGGAGGCAGCAGUGGGGAAUAUUGCACAAUGGGCGCAAGCCUGAUGCAGCAACGCCGCGUGAUGGACGACGGCCUUCGGGUUGUAAACCUCUUUUAGUAGGGAAGAAGCGAAGUGUUUUACAUGGAGUGACGGUACCUGCAGAAAAAGCACCGGCUAACUGCGUGCCAGCAGCCGCGGUAAUACGUAGGGUGCAAGCGUUAUCCGGAAUUAUUGGGCGUAAAGAGCUCGUAGGCGGUUUGUCGCGUCUGCUGUGGAAACUGGGGGCUCAACCCCCAGCCUGCAGUGGGUACGGGCAGACUAGAGUGCGGUAGGGGAGAUUGGAAUUCCUGGUGUAGCGGUGGAAUGCGCAGAUAUCAGGAGGAACACCAAUGGCGAAGGCAGAUCUCUGGGCCGUAACUGACGCUGAGGAGCGAAAGCAUGGGGAGCGAACAGGAUUAGAUACCCUGGUAGUCCAUGCCGUAAACGUUGGGAACUAGAUGUAGGGUCCAUUCCACGGAUUCUGUGUCGCAGCUAACGCAUUAAGCGCCCCGCCUGGGGAGUACGGCCGCAAGGCUAAAACUCAAAGGAAUUGACGGGGGCCCGCACAAGCGGCGGAGCAUGCGGAUUAAUUCGAUGCA